This 530-nucleotide long non-coding RNA is filed under the name Ananas comosus (pineapple). RNAcentral describes it as "long non-coding RNA (ACOM_LNC008370)". The record is from RNAcentral. Lineage: Eukaryota; Viridiplantae; Streptophyta; Magnoliopsida; Poales; Bromeliaceae.
AAUUUAUAAGUUUAAUUAAGUUUGAAAUUAAGCAUUGGAAUAGCACUAUUCCACCAAAAUGGUGGAAUAGCAAAUCCCUUGCUAUUCCGGGAUAACCAAGAAUUGCAAGGUUUGACCGGGAUAAAAUAUCCCGGCCAAAUUUCAUCCCGUUUGGCGGAAUAGCGGGGAUAACUUUCGUUAUCCCCGCUUAUCCCGCGAUCCAAACGGGGCCUUAGAAUAUAGCGGUUGUUUCACACUGCUACUUUAAUACCAUAUUAAAUAAUAAAAAUAAUUAUUAUUUUUUAAAAAGUUAAACUAGUAAAGAACGGUAUUUAAAUAUUUUUAUAUUUAACGACCUUUAUUCUCUAAAAGAUUAAACUGGUCUUUUAGAGAACGAUGUUUAAAUAUUUUUAUACACAGUAAGAAUGCAAAUGAAUUUGGAUUCAUGGAGCUCCUAUCAAGAUCUACCACGUAUAACACGAUAAUUGAGAGUCAAAAUAAGCACAAAAAAAAAAAGAAUAAUUCGUCUCGAUGCGCCCUGAAUAGUUAAA